UGCAGAAAGAAAUAAACAUAACCAACCAGAUAAAAUAGCAAAGGAAAAAACAGAGUGAAACAGCCAAACAAAAAACACAUGGCAAAACAAACUGAAUGAUUUGCUAAAAAUUCAAAUUUGUUUUCAUUUCCAGGUUUUUUUUGUUUUGUUUGGCAACAUGUUCAUAUUUGGAUAACUUUAACAGGAUAAGUUUUAUGGAAAUCCAAAUCUUUUGGGCUAUUUAUAAGUGUAAUUUUGGUAAGGGGAUCCUCCUAAUAUCGUUUCUACACAGAAGUAGAUUGUUUCCUUAGAUCUGCAGUUUUUACUCUUUGUUUUAUUGACAAGGGUCCUAUUGGGUGGACUGGGGGAGAGAGGGAUGCUCAUUUUGUGUCUUUGAGUUCAUUUGCUUUUAAACACUGUGUUUUUAAUAUGUAUUUUAUUUGCUUUUAUGUUAAGCCCCUUGUGUUUCAGGUGAAAAGGUGCUAUACAUAUAAAUAAAGUUUAAAUUUGAGUUUUAAAAAGUUACAUUUUUUAAAUUUUUAAAAUAGUGUGUUCAAUAAAUGUUUUUCCUAAGGUGUCUUUUGGAUUCUGGCCCCCUGUGUGAUUGAGUUGACACCAUGCCUGCCUGUAAAUGAAUAGACUGAAUAAUGCUGGGUGGAGUCGUUGUUCCGUCUCCAUAGCAACGGGGAAGCGGGAGCAAUCUUAACUAACAGAACAAAAGUGUCAAAGGAAAAAAACGCAAUAAAUAAGGAGUCCACUGACAGCAUGAACAACAGAACUCAGCGGUUGAACUCGUUGUCUCGGUCGUCGACCGACGCGGGGACAGCUUUCCUGAACAGCAGGACGAGUUCGAGGCUGACGUGGGAGGUUCGAGCCCGGCAGGACGGGAAGCGCCGCAGUGUGCUCGGCAGCAGCCGGCCGGGCAGACACCACGGCCCGGAGGAGACGCCGAGGAGAGCCGUUCGGGUGCUGGAUGCUGAGGGCAACGAUGUGACUCCCCUGCCUCUGCUCCCAGUGAAGCCACAGCCAUCUACUGAAACGGCAGGAUUGUGUCUGGACGACUUGUUCAAUUCAGAUCACUCUAGCUCCGACUCCAGCCUUGAUCUGGACUCCACCUCCUCUUUAAGCAGGUGGUGACGUUCACAUCCAACCAAUGCGUUAGUGAUGGUGUCAGAGGAGGAAUAAUGUCUGCUUGUGUUUUCAGCUCAUUCGCUCUGUCCUCAAGGGAUUCAUGGACAAAGGAAAGUAAAGACAGUCUCCUUACAGAGGACAUCCACCUACACCUACCUACUCCAUGUGAUUAAUACACCUUUUUGUCUGUUUAUUUUUUUAUUUGUUUGUUUUGAUGAAUAUUUUCUUGUAUUUUUUAUCCCGGGGGGUCUGCACCCUUUGAGGCAACAUUCACACUGUCCUCGGCAACGCGCUUUCAAGCCAUUGACUGUAUAAGAAAACUGGACUGAUCCCUCCCCCCUCGCGUUACCAUAAGACUUCUAUGGAGAAAAAAAAACAGCUAUUACUCACUCUAUUUGUCAGAAAAAUAAUUAUUUCGCUACAAACUUAUUAUUAACAUAUUGUAUCCUAAUUUUUUUCAUUACGUUUUUUCUUUAUCCCAAGUUAUUCAAGUUAUAAACUGGCCAAUCAGAUGCCUCAGUAAAGCAUGUGGUGCCCACCUCAAACGUUUGAUUGGCAGAUUCUCCUGAGCUCACUUUCAGUGGUAUGGAUGUGAACUUCUAAGUAGCUCCCUCCUGAUUGGUAACAUCAUUUGCCAUAGUAAUGUAGUAACCAUAAUAACUGACUAGAAACAAUCGCUGCUUACUGACCAUGUCUGGCACCAAAUAGGGGUUUCCGUAUCACAGAAUGAUUUAGUCUCAUUUGGUUGGAGCUGGAAAUAAGACAUUUUUGCUCUUUAAGGCAUUAUCUAUGAGUGACUGAACUCAGUCCAGUUCUCUUAUGCAGUCAAUGGUUCAAGCGACCACUUCUAAUUAUAAGUCUAUGUCAAUGCAUGUUUCAUGCUUCCGUAUUCGAAGCUCUCGGGUUCAUUCAUAGCUACAUACAUUUUUAGGACCGUUCAUGGGCUCUAUGUACAAAAUGGGACAAUUACCUGUCACAUUUAAAAUGAGUUAAUAAAUGACAAUUUACUAAAGCAAAAAACUAUAAUUUAUUAAUUUUUUUUGCAUUCUGCUUCAAAGCCAAUGGAGCCUAAGUCCAGAGGUGUUAUCACUUUUUUAUAAUUUUGUUUGAAGUGAUCCCACCAAAGAAAGGAUUGGCUAAAAAACAAGCAUCAGAAGAGAUAAAAGUGACUGACAUAAUUCUUAUGGAGUCAGAGACGGUUACGCUGCUGGACAUCCCAAGCACCUUAAUCCACGAGGACGCUGACGGUGCAGAACUCGCCAGGUGAGGUCACGGAGCAGCUCCACUCAGGAAUCACAGCAGUGUAACCAUGCAACCAUGUGUAGCCGUGCAACUUAGUUUGUGUAAAAUCUUCAUUGACAAAUGGAUUUUUUCUGUUUUUUAACAGGGUGAGGACCGACCACUAUGUUGAACUUUGCAAAAGCAGAGUGCGCAAUGCCAUUGAACAAUCCACACAGACUAUCGUUGGAGAGAACAAAAACAAACUGAUACAGACCAACGAGAAGAUUGAGCUUGAAAAGAGUAUGAACUCACUUAAUCUUUGACCCUCUAACAAAGGAGUUCUAGUGUUUAUGUUCUUUGAUUUAUUGGAAUUAUGUAAUUCUUAACACGAUCAACGCAAUUCC
Oryzias javanicus (javanese ricefish) is the source of this 2735-nucleotide long non-coding RNA. Lineage: Eukaryota; Metazoa; Chordata; Actinopteri; Beloniformes; Adrianichthyidae. The record is from Ensembl.